This 363-nucleotide ribosomal RNA is filed under the name uncultured bacterium. RNAcentral's name for it is "bacterial SSU rRNA". It matches the Rfam family "Bacterial small subunit ribosomal RNA", at positions 8 to 334 of the family's 1533-position model. The record is from RNAcentral.
AGGGUUUGAUUAUGGCUCAGGAUGAACGCUGGCGGCGCAUUUAAGACAUGCAAGUCGAACGAAAAUAUUCAACUAAAAUUGAAUGAGGAUUUAUCCAAGUGAAAUUUUGCCCGAAUAUUUUAGUGGCGGACGGGUGAGUAAUACGUAGGCAACCUGCCUCAUAGAGGGAAAUAACUAUUAGAAAUGAUAGCUAAUGUCCCAUAAGACCACGCUUAGGCAUCUAAGAGAGGUCAAAGGAGUAAUCCGCUAUGAGAUGGGCCUACGGCUGAUUAGUUAGUUGGUGAGAUAACAGCCCACCAAGACGAUGAUCAGUAGCCGAGCUGAGAGGCUGGCCGGCCACAUUGGGACUGAGACACGGCCCAG